Molecule: small RNA, 29 nt
Filed under: Bombyx mori (domestic silkworm)
Lineage: Eukaryota; Metazoa; Arthropoda; Insecta; Lepidoptera; Bombycidae
Description: piRNA piR-bmo-1643185
Source: RNAcentral
UGUUUUCUCCCGGCUAUAAGUCCCCCUGC